This 320-nucleotide unclassified non-coding RNA is filed under the name Hevea brasiliensis (rubber tree). Lineage: Eukaryota; Viridiplantae; Streptophyta; Magnoliopsida; Malpighiales; Euphorbiaceae. The record is from RNAcentral.
UUUAAUGGCAAAGACUUGAAAGGGAAUUCCUCCCAAUGAAGUAAUCUCAACUUGUAAGGAAGACUUGGAGCAAUCCCCGUUAAAUUUGAUUCAAAUCUGAAUUUGGUAAAAUUUGACCAAUCCCUGUAAAAUUUGAGCAAUCUCAAGUUGGGCAUCCGUGAGAAGAAUGAAUCAUUCAAAUCUAGCCUUCCAAUUUCAGACACGUUCAAAAGUAGGCCUUCAACUUUAUUUGCCUCAUUAUUAGUUGAGUUCAACAUACGAUAGAUGCCAUUAGAAUUGCUUAAUAUGAUACCCUCCCGCCGAGCAAUAUCUUGACCCAU